Molecule: small nucleolar RNA, 134 nt
Organism: Chrysoperla carnea
Lineage: Eukaryota; Metazoa; Arthropoda; Insecta; Neuroptera; Chrysopidae
Product: small nucleolar RNA SNORA3/SNORA45 family
Exons: 1
Source: RefSeq, a predicted model, not a curated record
AUCGAGCCUAGAGUCACUAGCUAAUAACUUCAAUUAUUUUCUAGUGCUACAGGUAACUCGAAGAACAAAAUAUCACCUUAUGCCCUAUUUUAACUAUUUUGUGUGUAAAAUAGGCACCAAGCUGAUAACAAUUA